This is a long non-coding RNA of Ahaetulla prasina, 3328 nucleotides long. RefSeq lists it as uncharacterized. The transcript has 3 exons. The record is from RefSeq and is a predicted model, not a curated record. NCBI's taxonomy places the organism in Eukaryota, Metazoa, Chordata, Lepidosauria, Squamata, Colubridae.
GUUUAAUUAUUAACAAUGUGAAUUCCACUUGAUAAUACAUCACAAAAAUCUGUCAUUAUGCAUGUCAACUACACAUAGUUUCUGAUGAGCCAAUCAUGCCUUCCUACUCAAGAAACAGCUAGGUCUUUCUUUCAUAAGUUUCCCUGUUACCAUAACAGAAAAAUAAUAAUCUUGUGUCACAUACUAAAUCAAUCCACUCAUUCAUUUCUGUCCUUUUUCCUGAAUCCCUGUCUCUAACCUACAUACUCCUGUUCAAUGACAACUAUUUUCAUGCAUGGAAAUGAAGUUCACCCAACUAUUCAAAUGAAGAACUAUUCAAAAGUACAAAGAAAGCACAGAUGUUUGGCUAAACUUCCUUUAGCUUGUGCAAUGAGGUUUCUUUUUUUUUUUUCAAAAAAAAGGAAGGAAAUAUAAAACAGCAAGCUUUUAUAAAAGCAACAGCACCAAACCCUACUGAGAGCUAAAAGUCAGAACUAAGUUUAAGUUAUUUUAACCAAACACAGAACAUGUUUGCAAUUGGAUACAGGAAAACAAAAUCACAAGCAAGAAUUACAGCUUUCAGAAAGAAAUAUUCCUUAAUAUGAUGUGUUGGGGAAAACAGAAAUGUGUUUAAUGUUAUUAAUAAGCAACCUGGUGCUAUCCAUGUAUAUAUGCUCACGUAUAUAUAGGCACAAGAAUGGGUGUGAGCCUUUGAUCAAAAUAUUCAGUUGUUUUUUGUUUGUUUGUUUGCUGGAAAAACUUCUUUCCAAUCCGCCAUCUCCUAGCUGUGCUUUAACUACAACUCCCAUCCUCUGCAGAGAGACACUGGGUUUAAUAGGAUAGGUGGGAAUGAUACAGCAAUAAUCCUUUGGAGACCAGAAGGAUUUGCUUUCAGGAACAAUUGUGGCUUACUUGCAGCUGAAAUUAUUCUUCCCCAAGAUUACCACAGGUGGCAGAAAGUAGCAAACGCAGAGCCACCAUCAACGGUUAUCCGCUGAUAACGGAAACAAAAACUGUGAGGCCUGUGGGAGGAAUGAAAAACAUACGGGGCAGGGGAGGGAGGGGGGCUCCAGGCAUAUUUUAGGUUGUGGCCUCGGUAACUUUUCAGAAGGAUCACCCACUAUAAAGGAAAAGCAGCUGAGGACUGGACGUGCCAAGCCAAAUUUAGAAACCGAGUAGGCUAAACAGGGGAAGGGAAAAAAAAAACACGUCUCCGUGGGGAUGUAUUUUACAGACUGAUUUGGGAGCAUGGCCAUGUCAGCUCUCCUGAGAAGCAAAAGAACCCGCGACGAAAGGAAGGGGGGGGAACCGAACUGUGGUCAUGAGGAGCCGAGUUGUUUAGCUUGGGAAAACAAAAUGGGAUGCUCGGAUAGGGCGGGUUUGCCUUCUUCCCCCCCCCCCCCACCAACCACCACUCGGGCCUUGUAACUCUUUGGACGCCGCAGAAAACUAAACAGCCUCGGCUGCCUUACUAAGAGAGUCUUGCGGGGGAGGGGGACGGGACGGCGCGGGGAUCCUUCCUUCACCCGCUGCGCCCGAGCUCGGGAUAGGGAUAUGGCGGUGGCCGAAAAGCCCGAGGCAACGAUUCAGCAGCCCGAGAUGGAUCCGAUCGGAGAAGCGGAAAGUCCCUCAAAUGCAGAGGAAGGAAAUGGCACUAUUCAAUAUGUGCAUAGCUGUCUACAGUCCAAUUUACAAGUGAUUACGGCAGACUCAGUAGGCCGUCCCUGUAAAAUCAGCUACUGAGCAUCACAGCAGGAAAAUGGAUGAAAUGAAAUUGACCCACUUUCUAACAAAAUAUUGGGGUACAGAUGCUUUUUCUUAAAGGAAAUUUAUGGGGCCCUACAUAGCCUCUUGAUGCAGAUGAAGGAGGAGAAUGCAAAAGUUGGCUUGAAACUCAACAUUAAGAAAACUAAGAUCAUGGCAUCCAACCCUCUCAAUUCCUGGAAAAUAGAUGGGGAAGAAAUGGAGAUAGUGACAGAUUUUAUUUUCCUGGGCUCCAAGAUCACCGCAGAUGGAGACUGCAGCCAAGAAAUUAAAAGAUGCUUGCUCCUGGGGUGGAAAGCUAUGGCAAAUGUAGACAGCAUACUAAAAAGCAGAGACAUCACCCUGCCAACAAAAGUGCGUAUAGUCAAGGCGAUGGUUUUCCCAGUUGCAAUGUACGGCUGUGAAGGUUGGACCAUAAGAAAGGCUGAGCGCCAAAGAAUUGAGGCCUUUGAACUCUGGUGCUGGAGAAGACUCCUGCGAGGCCCUUGGAUUGUAAGGUGAACAAACAAGUCAGUCCUAGAGGAGAUCAACCCUGGCUGCUCUUUAGAAGGCCAGAUCCUGAAGAUGAAACUGAAAUACUUUGGCCACCUAAUGAGAAAGAAGGACUCACUGGACAAGAGCCUAAUGCUGGGAAAGAUCGAGGGCAAAAGAAGAACGGGACGACAGAGAAUGAGGUGGCUGGAUGGAGUCACUGAAGCAGUAGGCAUGAGCUUAAAUGGACUCCAGAGGAUGGUAGAGGACAGGAAGGCCUGGAGGAAUAUUGUCCAUGGGGUCGCAAUGGGUGGGACACAACUUCGCAACUAACAACAACAGCAACAACAACAUAGCUUCUUACAAGUAAUUUUAGAGAAGAAAGACUGCUCAGAUGAUGUCUUCUUUACACUACUUUGCUGUAUUUUUAUUUAUUUAUUUACAUUUAUAUCCCGCCCUUCUCCGAAGACUCAGGGUGGCUUACAGUGUGUAAGGCAAUAGUCUCAUUCUAUUUGUAUAUAUUUACAAAGUCAAUUUAUUGCCCCCCCAACAAUCUGGGUCCUCAUUUUACCUACCUUAUAAAGGAUGGAAGGCUGAGUCAACCUUGGGCCUGGUGGGACUAGAACCUGCAGUAAUUGCAGGCAGCUGUGUUUUAAUAACAGGCUAUCUUACAGCCUGAGCCACUCAAGGACCCCUAUAGUAUUGACUAUUUAAUUUUAUUCAGUUACUCUAAAUAAAAUUAAAGCCAAAUGGAAGUUCUUGGUGCAUUUUUAGUGCAUGAGCUCAGAUUCUGAUUAUAGAAAAUUUGGACCCUUCAUUGCAUUUGAAGAAACUGUGCAUAAGAAUAACAGAAAAAUCAUUGUGACUGUAGAUUUUUUUCCCCUCCUCCUCCUCCAUUUCUCCUUGCUUGUUUGAUGUUUUACGUAUUCUCUUUUAACCAUUGAAAUACCAUUUUAUAAAUCCGAGGUGUAUUGCUUAGGACAAGUAUAGCUGUUGCCUCCAUCUGUAACCUUUUGCAUGAGCCAAGUGGGUCAUGAAAGACUGCUUGAAACUUGAUACAUGGAAGUGUGUUCAUAAUACUUGCAAGCUAAGGACAGGAGAUGGGGAUAUACAC